AAAGCAGCCCUAUAAUCAGCCAACUUGUACCUAAGAAGCCAUAUAUCACACAUCAGUCACUGGCAGAGAAAAUAUAAUCUCCAGUAACUAUAUAACAUUGUUGCUUAGAUUGUUAAACUUCUUUUGAACAUUCGAGAGUCCAAUCCAGGUAGAGCCAUUGCAGACGCAUCAGCAGCAUUUUCAAACAAAGGAGGCAGAUUAUAGUUGCCAUGGUGGCCUGUUAAUGGAUUGACGGAAUGACUACCUAAACCAUAAUUGGAAGGACUAUCCAUAUGCGGAUAUUGAGAAAGCACACCACCUCCACCAUUUAAUGUGGAUGUUUAAGAUCCUUUGACCUAUGAAUUAUUAGAGGCAAAGGCAUAUUUGUGCAGACCCUCUUGGAGGUUCGAAUGAACUGUUAAGGUCUGACCAUGCACUAUUUUCGGUAGCAAUGUCAGCAUAUGGUCCUUUUGCAGAGUGAGAUUUAGAAGAUAUACUAAACUGUGCAGAUUUUGAUCUUUUCAGAUAUGCAUGCUGCUUAGCACUAUUCUGACUACCUGUAAAAAUGUAAGAAUAUUAUUUGGUGACAAACAUCGUAUAAGAUUAUUAUUUGGUGACAAGCAUCGUGUCCAGUCUGAGAGAGAUCUAUAUCUAACAUACCAUUAAAAAGACUCAUGCUAGAUAAAGCAGCAAGCAGAUCCACAAACUCUGUGGUGUGAGGGACACCUCUUACACUUUAGAGCCUUACAUGAGAUUCCAACAGUCAAAAAACAAUCCUUUGAAUGCAGUUGCACAAGAAUUUAGUUUGUUAGACAUACAAUUGACUAAAAUUUAAGUUCCAAUAGUCAUUGUUCAAAAAAAACUCUUUAAACUAUCAAUAAAUUAAGUUGCUUCUAAAAGAGAUUCAGGUGGAAACCAAAUCCUUUGCUUAAAUCUUUACAUAUAUGAUUUCUGAAAGACUCCAGCAUCAAGCUUGCAGUUUUAUUUUGGAGAAAGAAGUUCUUGAAUCCACAUUGAACUAAUUUUUUUUCAAGUCACACGGGAAGAUGCAAAACAGUAACUGCAAGCCACAGUUUCAAAUGAAAUAUUCUAUCUAUAAAUUUAUGUUUUGUAAAAAAACAUUAGCAUGGAGGAGGCAAGGCAAAAAACAAAAGUUAGAACAUUACUCACCUUUGCAGCCUCCUAUAUGCAGAAUUUGAAGUUUGUAAGCUAAAAAAUUGGUGCAUUCUGCCAUUUUUAUUUCCACAACGUCAAAUCUAGAGAUACUGUAGCAAAGUGACAGGACAAUAUUGUUACCAAAUGAAGUAUCACACGCAUACAUCAAAUGUAGCUUAACACAUUUCAAUACUAAAAUGUAUAUGCAUGAAUCAGUUAUGGAAAAUUCUUCAAAACAAACCUCAAAUGAUUGAGAUGAAUAGCUACUGCACACAUUAUUCAUCUACCUGAAUUACACGACAGCCAUAUAGAUGGGUGGAGAGAUUUACAACUUGAUUAAAAAAGUAGAGACAAUAAAUUGUAUGUGUUCUUCUAGUACACAUUUUAUACACUUAUGGAUGACAUGAUUCCCAUUCUGAUCUCGUACACAGCGCAUGACAUGACCAUCUCCUCAACCAUUUUAAUCUACUGGUCCACAUCGACUACUUCUAUCGCCUGCAAGUGAACCAAAAUUUUAUUUUAGCAAAGGUUUGAACUCACAAAGGUCAGAUACCUGGAAAGCAGCCCUAUAAUCAGCCAACUUGUACCUAAGAAGCCAUAUAUCACACAUCAGUCACUGGCAGAGAAAAUAUAAUCUCCAGUAACUAUAUAACAUUGUUGCUUAGAUUGUUAAACUUCUUUUGAACAUUCGAGAGUCCAAUCCAGGUAGAGCCAUUGCAGACGCAUCAGCAGCAUUUUCAAACAAAGGAGGCAGAUUAUAGUUGCCAUGGUGGCCUGUUAAUGGAUUGACGGAAUGACUACCUAAACCAUAAUUGGAAGGACUAUCCAUAUGCGGAUAUUGAGAAAGCACACCACC
RNAcentral lists this long non-coding RNA (1990 nucleotides) under Capsicum annuum. RNAcentral describes it as "long non-coding RNA (CANN_LNC014044)". Lineage: Eukaryota; Viridiplantae; Streptophyta; Magnoliopsida; Solanales; Solanaceae. The record is from RNAcentral.